This 253-nucleotide ribosomal RNA is filed under the name uncultured bacterium. RNAcentral's name for it is "partial 16S ribosomal RNA". It matches the Rfam family "Bacterial small subunit ribosomal RNA", at positions 524 to 776 of the family's 1533-position model. The record is from RNAcentral.
UACGGGGGGUGCAAGCGUUGUUCGGAUUGAUUGGGCGUAAAGCGCUCGUAGGCGGGUUCACAAGUCGGAUGUGAAAGCCCCGGGCUUAACCUGGGAAUUGCAUCUGAAACUAUGAAUCUUGAAUACUUGAGGGGUUGGUGGAAUUCUUGGUGUAGGAGUGAAAUCCGUAGAUAUCAAGAGGAAUACCGGAGGCGAAGGCGGCCGACUGGCAAUGUAUUGACGCUGAGGAGCGAAAGCGUGGGGAGCAAACAGG